Non-coding RNA from Ciona intestinalis (vase tunicate), 631 nucleotides. The record is from RefSeq and is a predicted model, not a curated record. Lineage: Eukaryota; Metazoa; Chordata; Ascidiacea; Phlebobranchia; Cionidae.
AUACAAAAAAGAACGACAUAACUAGUAACUACAAGAUAUAAAAAAGAACGAAAUAAUUACAACAUGAUUAAAAGCAGAAGAAUAAAUUUAGUGUCCCUUUCUUCUCUUAUUUUGUUUUUUUUUUCUGGUGAAAGUGGUGUUUUUUUUACAACCAAUUUAUUGUUACUGCUUAUUGUUGUUUGAUUUUUAUCUUUAAUAGGUCCAAAGUUGAAAAAACUAAUGAAAAUUGCUUCUUUUUGUUUUUCUGUCAGGUUUAUCCAAUCAGUAAUUGAGUGUUGGAAUUUUCGAAACUCUCCAAAGAGCACGUACUGACCCAUGCCGGUAAAACUGCGCUCAAUAUCCAGGAAUCCUGUUUGGAACAAUUUACAUCUUGUACAAAAGGAUGAGUGGUCAGCAUGUUAAUAACUUUAAGCUUGUGAAGUCUUUAUAUAAAUGGGAACACCGGAUGACGAUCCUGAAAGUUGGCAGUUUCCAUGCUGUUCGUUCGCUGGAAAUUUUCCGCAAUACUCGUAUCGAUAUGGCUGCCAAAUUUAAAACUGUUGAAUUUUCAAUCCAGGUGAUUCUUCUGCAGUAUAAAAGGUCUCCUUUACUUUUGCAAAAGUAGCGCCCGAGGAUGGUGGCUGUGUUUGUU